This is a non-coding RNA of Phalacrocorax carbo (great cormorant), 173 nucleotides long. The record is from RefSeq and is a predicted model, not a curated record. Lineage: Eukaryota; Metazoa; Chordata; Aves; Suliformes; Phalacrocoracidae.
GAGGGCUGGGGAAGGGCUGCUGGGCGGCGGGGCCGCGGCCCAGCCUCGUACCAGCCAGCCUCACCCGCGCCCCAGAUGAACCCCGGGGGGCCCCGGCGGGCCCCGGCCGUGCAGUAACAGGUGUGAGCAUUCAUGCAGCAUUCUGGUGGUCAUGUAUGAUACUGCACACAGCA